RNAcentral lists this ribosomal RNA (355 nucleotides) under uncultured eukaryote. RNAcentral's name for it is "partial 18S ribosomal RNA". It matches the Rfam family "Eukaryotic small subunit ribosomal RNA", at positions 1469 to 1796 of the family's 1831-position model. The record is from RNAcentral.
ACCCUUAGAUGUUCUGGGCCGCACGCGCGCUACACUGAUCGAUUCAACGAGUUUUAUAAUAUUUUGUUUAAAAAAUUUAUAUAUCCUUUGUCGGAAGGCAUGGGUAAUCUUUUAAAUGUCGAUCGUGAUGGGGCUAGAUUCUUGCAAUUAUUAAUCUCCAACGAGGAAUUCCUAGUAAACGCAAGUCAUCAGCUUGCAUUGAUUACGUCCCUGCCCUUUGUACACACCGCCCGUCGCACCUACCGAUUGAAUGGUCCGGUGAAAUCUUGGGAUUUUGUUUUGUUUGCAUUUAUUUGUAUCGAGACGAGAGAACUUGAGUAAACCUUACCAUUUAGAGGAAGGUGAAGUCGUAACA